AUAUGUCACGCCCCGGGACCGGCGGAGGCCCUCCCGGUGGCGUGCCCAGACCCGCCAUAUGUCUACACAUAUAAGGCGUCUACAAUAAAAGCGGAAGUAAAAGCAAGAAUAGAACAAAUGACGAGGUGAAAUAACUAGCAACUAAUGAUAUCAGAGCAAGUAAAGCUAGACAAUAAAGAAAUCACAAGUAGUACAAUAUCUGUCUCAAAAGUACAAAAACGGUGGUCUCUAAUACACUGGUAGAACUCUCAACCUCUCCAAAAUAAAACACAACGAGAGGUAGACCACCUAGCGAAUCGUCCUCAAAGGAAGCUAGCUCGAAGCAACUCCCUUCCCGCGGUCCCUAGCCUCGCCCUGAGUGGAAGGCUCUGAAAACAUCGAGAAAAAGAGGGCGUGAGAACUAUAAGCUAUAGUCUAUAGUUCCCAGUGGGCAAUUACUGACCUCAGCUCCUGCUCCACUAGGCCCCAAAAACAAAGGUAAGCAACGAUAAUAAUAAUAAGCAAUAAGGAGCAUGUAAAUAAACUGCUGAAAGAAAGCGUGAUGUAAACGAAAAUGUACAUCUAUUCUAUCUUUACAAUUACGUCCAAUGGCACUAGUCUAAUGUCAAUAACCCUUAUCAAUGCAUGAUGCAUAAGCUCUAUCAUGGCAACCAAGUAUGCUCUAAUGCAACAAGAGACUAUCAAAUAUACUACAUGUCUCAACACUAUGCUAAAAAAAUAUAUAAAUGUAAUCCAACUACUAAACCUAUCUAGUAGUGAUUAACCAAUCUCGACCCCGUAUCGAUUUCCAUUUCCAAUCAAGGACCUACCAAAGGUAGUCCAGCUUGUGCCGCCUAAGUGCCUGUGGUAGCCCGACAUUCCUACUCUUGGAAUGUGUCUGUCCCACUCGACCCCGUAGGCUUCUCAAUACCGCACGAGCGAACAUAGGUCGCAUAGGCUAACUCCGGAGUGCCGGCUUGUAGGGAGCGACCCUCACAAGCAUGUGCGAAUGAGCACAAAUGGCAAGCAAGCAAAGUCCAAGUCUAAAGUAUCCAAUCCUCAUGUCUCUAACAUGGUAUAGUCACUAGUAUCCCAAAGAUCUAGUUUAUGUCACAAUGUGAAGGUUCAACCUUUGCUACGCCUAGUGCCCUUUGAUGACACUUAGG
RNAcentral lists this long non-coding RNA (1145 nucleotides) under Ananas comosus (pineapple). RNAcentral's name for it is "long non-coding RNA (ACOM_LNC019644)". The record is from RNAcentral. Lineage: Eukaryota; Viridiplantae; Streptophyta; Magnoliopsida; Poales; Bromeliaceae.